UGUGCUCAGAGAGAAAAUCAUUUAAGAACAACUGUUAUGGAGGCUGUACACAACAGUUCGAAGUUGGAUGAAGUCAGGAGUUGAGCAGAUUUCAACCGGCAGGCACUUCA
This 110-nucleotide long non-coding RNA is filed under the name Canis lupus familiaris (dog). RNAcentral's name for it is "lncRNA (ENSCAFG00000057881.1)". Lineage: Eukaryota; Metazoa; Chordata; Mammalia; Carnivora; Canidae. The record is from RNAcentral.